Molecule: ribosomal RNA, 449 nt
Filed under: uncultured bacterium
Lineage: Bacteria
Description: bacterial SSU rRNA
Rfam family: Bacterial small subunit ribosomal RNA
Source: RNAcentral
ACUCCUACGGGAGGCAGCAGUAGGGAAUAUUGCACAAUGGAGGAAACUCUGAUGCAGCGACGCCGCGUGAGCGAUGAAGGCCUUCGGGUUGUAAAGCUCUGUGAUAUGGGAAGAUAAUGACGGUACCAUAUCAGAAAGGACCGGCUAACUUCGUGCCAGCAGCCGCGGUAAUACGAGGGGUCCAAGCGUUGUUCGGAAUUACUGGGCGUAAAGCGGGUGUAGGCGGCCACGCCAGUCGGAUGUGAAAGCCCUGGGCUCAACCCAGGAAGUGCAUCCGAUACUGCGUGGCUUGAGUACUGGAGAGGGAAGUGGAAUUCCUGGUGUAGCGGUGAAAUGCGUAGAUAUCAGGAGGAACAUCGGUGGCGAAGGCGGCUUCCUGGACAUGUACUGACGCUCAGACCCGAAAGCGUGGGGAGCAAACAGGAUUAGAUACCCUGGUAGGCUCUGCU